Molecule: long non-coding RNA, 456 nt
Filed under: Ananas comosus (pineapple)
Lineage: Eukaryota; Viridiplantae; Streptophyta; Magnoliopsida; Poales; Bromeliaceae
Description: long non-coding RNA (ACOM_LNC038988)
Source: RNAcentral
UUGUGGAGCCUUGGGCGGACAGGGGAGGUGCUGUCCGUUCGGCGGUCUGUCGCCGCGGCCGAAUCGUGCCAAAUUGGUAGUGAUUUCGGGGCGGGGCGUGACAGUAAUUGUGAUGUAAGCAAAUGUAUCAAUGAGAAUGCUUGUAAUAAUAUAGGAUGUGUUUAUGUUGUUGAUACCUUUCCAUAUGCAAUCUGUAUGUUGAUUUCUGUUCCUGGUUGGAACAUCGUGAAUUAUAUUGAUUGUGACGCCUAGGACGUACAGGGGAAAUUCUAUCCGUUCGGCGGUCUGUCGGCGUGCCCGAAUCCGACCAAAUAGGCGGGUGUCGAGGCGUGACACAACCGGUCUCUGGAAAGGGAGACCGGUUCCCGAACAUGGGAUUUUCUGUCACGCAGCGAGGGACCGGUCUCUGGCAUGAGAGACCGGUUCCCGAACGUUGUAUUUUCUGUCAUACAGCGA